GAAACGACUGCUAAGACUGGAUAGGAAACAAAAAGGCAUCUUUUUGUUUUUAAAAGACCUUCUUAUGAAGGUAUGCUUAAAGAGGGGCUUGCGCCACAUUAGUUAGUUGGUAGGGUAAAAGCCUACCAAGACGAUGAUGUGUAGCUGGACUGAGAGGUUGAACAGCCACAUUGGGACUGAGACACGGCCCAAACUCCUACGGGAGGCAGCAGUAGGGAAUUUUCGGCAAUGGAGGAAACUCUGACCGAGCAACGCCGCGUGAACGAUGAAGUAUUUCGGUAUGUAAAGUUCUUUUAUUGAAGAAGAAAAAGUAGUGGAAAAACUAUAUUGACGUUAUUCAAUGAAUAAGCCCCGGCUAACUAUGUGCCAGCAGCCGCGGUAAGACAUAGGGGGCGAGCGUUAUCCGGAAUUAUUGGGCGUAAAGGGUGCGUAGGCUGUUAGAUAAGUCUAUAAUUUAAUUUCAGUGCUUAACGCUGUCUUGUUAUAGAAACUGUCUUGACUAGAGUGAGAUAGAGGCAAGCGGAAUUCCAUGUGUAGCGGUAAAAUGUGUAAAUAUAUGGAGGAACACCAGAAGCGUAGGCGGCUUGCUGGGUCUUUACUGACGCUGAGGCACGAAAGCGUGGGUAGCAAACAGGAUUAGAUACCCUGGUAGUCCACGCCGUAAACGAUGAGUACUAAGUGUCGGGGUAAAACUCGGUACUGAAGUUAACACAUUAAGUACUCCGCCUGAGUAGUACGUACGCAAGUAUGAAACUUAAAGGAAUUGACGGGACUCCGCACAAGCGGUGGACCAUGUUGUUUAAUUCGAAGAUACACGAAAAAUCUUACCAGGUCUUGACAUACUCUGCAAAGCUAUAGAAAUAUAGUGGAGGUUAUCAGGGAUACAGGUGGUGCAUGGUUGUCGUCAGUUCGUGUCGUGAGAUGUUAGGUUAAGUCCUAAAACGAGCGCAACCCUUGUCGUUAAUUGCCAGCACGUAAUGGUGGGGACUUUAGCGAGACUGCCAAUUAAACAUUGGAGGAAGGUGAGGAUUACGUCAAAUCAUCAUGCCCCUUAUGAUCUGGGCUACAAACGUGAUACAAUGGCUGUGACAAAGAGUAGCUGAAACGCGAGUUUUUAGCCAAUCUCAAAAAAGCAGUCUCAGUUCGGAUUGAAGUCUGUAACUCGACUUCAUGAAGUUGGAAUCGCUAGUAAUCGCGAAUCAGCAUGUCGCGGUGAAUACGUUCUCGGGGUUUGUACACACCGCCCGUCA
This 1250-nucleotide ribosomal RNA is filed under the name Candidatus Phytoplasma trifolii. Its description in RNAcentral is "bacterial SSU rRNA". It matches the Rfam family "Bacterial small subunit ribosomal RNA", at positions 153 to 1399 of the family's 1533-position model. The record is from RNAcentral. Lineage: Bacteria; Bacillati; Mycoplasmatota; Mollicutes; Acholeplasmatales; Acholeplasmataceae.